AAGGGUGCGUAACACGUGGGCAAUCUGCCGAGAAGUGGGGGAUAGCUCGCCGAAAGGCGAAUUAAUACCGCAUGUGGUUAGGGAAGACAUCUUUCCGACACCAAAGCCGGGGCAACCUGGCGCUUCUUGAUGAGCCCGCGGCCUAUCAGCUAGUUGGUGAGGUAACGGCUCACCAAGGCUAUGACGGGUAGCUGGUCUGAGAGGACGACCAGCCACACUGGAACUGAGACACGGUCCAGACACCUACGGGUGGCAGCAGUCGAGAAUUUUUCUCAAUGGGGGAAACCCUGAAGGAGCGACGCCGCGUGGAGGAUGAAGGUCUUCGGAUUGUAAACUCCUGUCAUUAGGGAACAAUGUGCGGUUAUUAACUGUAAUCGUAUUGAUAGUACCUGAAGAGGAAGAGACGGCUAACUCUGUGCCAGCAGCCGCGGUAAUACAGAGGUCUCAAGCGUUGUUCGGAUUCAUUGGGCGUAAAGGGUGCGUAGGUGGCGCCAUAAGUCAGGUGUGAAAUCUCGGGGCUCAACCCCGAAACUGCACUUGAUACUGUGGUGCUCGAGUACUGGAGAGGAGAUUGGAAUU
Molecule: ribosomal RNA, 579 nt
Filed under: uncultured Spartobacteria bacterium
Lineage: Bacteria; Pseudomonadati; Verrucomicrobiota; Spartobacteria
Description: bacterial SSU rRNA
Rfam family: Bacterial small subunit ribosomal RNA
Source: RNAcentral